CUUUAACAAUCUGGAACAAGCUGAAAAUUUGAAACACUCAGUACUGUUAAGACAGUAUUGAGCGAGUCUCUCAACCCGCAUCUCCGAAGACACCUUCGG
Non-coding RNA from Xenorhabdus poinarii, 99 nucleotides. The record is from Rfam. NCBI's taxonomy places the organism in Bacteria, Pseudomonadati, Pseudomonadota, Gammaproteobacteria, Enterobacterales, Morganellaceae.